Molecule: ribosomal RNA, 253 nt
Filed under: uncultured bacterium
Lineage: Bacteria
Description: partial 16S ribosomal RNA
Rfam family: Bacterial small subunit ribosomal RNA
Source: RNAcentral
GACAGAGGGUGCAAACGUUGCUCGGAAUUACUGGGCGUAAAGCGCGUGUAGGCGGUUCCGCAAGUCAGGUGUGAAAGCCCAGGGCUCAACCCUGGAAGUGCACUUGAUACUACGGAGCUUGAGUACUGAAGAGGAGAGCGGAAUUCCCGGUGUAGAGGUGAAAUUCGUAGAUAUCGGGAGGAGCACCAGUGGCGAAGGCGGCUCUCUGGGCAGAUACUGACGCUGAGACGCGAAAGCAUGGGGAGCAAACAGG